ACACGGGACCUGCCGGUCGUUAAGCCGGAGGAAGUGGGGAUGAUGUCAAGUCAGCAUGGCCUUUAUAUCCUGGGCUACACACACGCUACAAUGGCCAACACAAUAGGUUGCUAAGCCGCGAGGUGGCGCCAAUCCAUAAAGUUGGUCUCAGUUCAGAUUGUAGGCUGCAACCCGCCUGCAUGAAGAUGGAGUUGCUAGUAACCGCAGGUCAGCUAUACUGCGGUGAAUACGUUCCCGGGCCUU
This 243-nucleotide ribosomal RNA is filed under the name uncultured Leptolinea sp. RNAcentral's name for it is "partial 16S ribosomal RNA". It matches the Rfam family "Bacterial small subunit ribosomal RNA", at positions 1140 to 1382 of the family's 1533-position model. Lineage: Bacteria; Bacillati; Chloroflexota; Anaerolineae; Anaerolineales; Anaerolineaceae. The record is from RNAcentral.